AUUGAUAAUGUAUCCUCGUACAUGGUUUAUGGUGCAAAAUUAAAUAUUUAAAACUCCAUAAAAAUAUGUAAAAAAACCUAUCAUCUAGUUGUAUAGAGGAUACAAGAAGGAUUGUAGAGAGAUUUUAUUGAAUUUUGUUAAAACUAUGUAUUUUUGAUGGUUUUAUACCUAAUAUUAGGUACAUAACAGCCACAUAUUCCCUAAACCCUAUAUAUAUAUAUAUAGGGUUUAGGGAAUAUGUGGCUGUUAUGUACCUAAUAUUAGGUACAUAACAGCCACAUAUUCCCUAAACCCUAU
This 297-nucleotide long non-coding RNA is filed under the name Lactuca sativa (garden lettuce). RNAcentral describes it as "long non-coding RNA (LSAT_LNC006394)". Lineage: Eukaryota; Viridiplantae; Streptophyta; Magnoliopsida; Asterales; Asteraceae. The record is from RNAcentral.